Molecule: ribosomal RNA, 496 nt
Filed under: uncultured bacterium
Lineage: Bacteria
Description: partial 16S ribosomal RNA
Rfam family: Bacterial small subunit ribosomal RNA
Source: RNAcentral
GACGAACGCUGGCGGCGUGCCUAAUACAUGCAAGUAGAACGCUGAAGAGAGGAGCUUGCUCUUCUUGGAUGAGUUGCGAACGGGUGAGUAACGCGUAGGUAACCUGCCUGGUAGCGGGGGAUAACUAUUGGAAACGAUAGCUAAUACCGCAUAAAAUUGAUUAUUGCAUGAUAAUUAAUUGAAAGAUGCAACUGCAUCACUACCAGAUGGACCUGCGUUGUAUUAGCUAGUUGGUGAGGUAACGGCUCACCAAGGCGACGAUACAUAGCCGACCUGAGAGGGUGAUCGGCCACACUGGGACUGAGACACGGCCCAGACUCCUACGGGAGGCAGCAGUAGGGAAUCUUCGGCAAUGGGGGGACCCUGACCGAGCAACGCCGCGUGAGUGAAGAAGGUUUUCGGAUCGUAAAGCUCUGUUGUAAGAGAAGAACGGGUGUGAGAGUGGAAAGUUCACACUGUGACGGUAUCUUACCAGAAAGGGACGGCUAACUACGUG